AUCGAACGCUGGCGGCAGGCUUAACACAUGCAAGUCGAGCGGGGUGAUGGUGCUUGCACUAUCACUUAGCGGCGGACGGGUGAGUAAUGCUUAGGAAUCUGCCUAUUAGUGGGGGACAACAUCUCGAAAGGGAUGCUAAUACCGCAUACGUCCUACGGGAGAAAGCAGGGGAUCACUUGUGACCUUGCGCUAAUAGAUGAGCCUAAGUCGGAUUAGCUAGUUGGUGGGGUAAAGGCCUACCAAGGCGACGAUCUGUAGCGGGUCUGAGAGGAUGAUCCGCCACACUGGGACUGAAGCACGGCCCAGACUACUACGGGAGGCAGCAGUGGGGAAUAUUGGACAAUGGGGGGGACCCUGAUCCAGCCAUGCCGCGUGUGUGAAGAAGGCCUUAUGGUUGUAAAGCACUUUAAGCGAGGAGGAGGCUCUUUUGGUUAAUACCCAUGAUGAGUGGACGUUACUCGCAGAAUAAGCACCGGCUAACUCUGUGCCAGCCGCCGCCGUAA
RNAcentral lists this ribosomal RNA (503 nucleotides) under uncultured bacterium. RNAcentral describes it as "partial 16S ribosomal RNA". It matches the Rfam family "Bacterial small subunit ribosomal RNA", at positions 30 to 523 of the family's 1533-position model. The record is from RNAcentral.